Molecule: long non-coding RNA, 1024 nt
Filed under: Homo sapiens (human)
Lineage: Eukaryota; Metazoa; Chordata; Mammalia; Primates; Hominidae
Description: HSALNT0397429
Source: RNAcentral
GCUGCAGUGGCGGGGAGUGGGGUGCGGAUCUUGUGUUUGCGCACGCAGUCGCCGGCCACCUCAGGCCGGAGCUAGAGAUACGGCUCGGGAUAGGAGGGCCCGGCGGCUCUGAGGCAGGUUCGCCUCGAGCCGCACGGCCCGGAGCAGCGGCUCCGCGGUGGUCCCCGGGGCUUGAGAGGGGUGCGGGCCUGGGAGCCCCUGAGGGCCUGAUUUACGGAACUCCCCCUCCUUCCUCCUUUCUGCCGUUCCCUGCUCUGUGGCGGAUGCGCAGGGAUCAGUAGGGACGGCAGCAGUAGGGCCACUCGGGCCUGCCCCGCUUCCCGCAUUGCCCGGUUUGGCGCGCCGCCUCCGGGCCUUGGCAAAGCCCCAGCGCCCGAUUGUCACUGACCAGUGCUUGGAAGUCCUUUACCGACUGCCCGUCAGCGUCCCGCGGAGAGGAUUUUGCGUCUCCAAAGACGCCCCUCUUCCGAAAACAGGCUCCUCUGUGUUCUCAGUCGGGUAUAUUUUUCUGUCUCCAAACUAGAUUGGCAGCCGUUUUUUGAGAGCAGACAGGGUCUUGCUCUGUUGCCCAGACUGGAGUGCAGUGGCGCCAUCUCAGCUGACUGCAGAUUCAACCUUCUGAGCUCACGAAAUCCUCCCAUCUCAACCUCCUGAGUAGCUGGGACCACAGGAUGGCACCUGACUUGAAGAUAGCACCUGACUUGAAGAUGGCACCUGACUAGCAUUUGGACUGGUUUGCAGGCUGAGCACAGGGUUGCUCCAGGUGGGCCCAAAUGCUGAAGAGCCUCAUGUUAGAGUUUUUCACCUCUGCGAUGGAACUGUGGUGGACUCCAGUAUCAUCAUUCCAGGGAGGCAUAGCCGCACCAACUGUGUUCCCAGGUUUCACAUGGAGAAGGGUUUUAGAAAGUGCAGAUAGCCUUGAAACCAUUGGUUUCCUACCACUGUUUAUUUCAGCAUAACUUUUUUUGUGUGGAAUGCUAGCUCUGGAAGAGCAGAAAUAAAUACAGCUUAAGCUUUGAACCAU